AUUUACAUAGCUUAUAUUUAGAGCACGGUGCUGAAGAUGCCGGGGGAGAUUGAAUUCUUGUAAGUA
Molecule: transfer RNA, 66 nt
Filed under: Parajapyx emeryanus
Lineage: Eukaryota; Metazoa; Arthropoda; Diplura; Dicellurata; Parajapygidae
Description: tRNA-Phe
Source: RNAcentral